AUUGAACGCUGGCGGCAUGCUUUACACAUGCAAGUCGAACGGCAGCGCGGGCUUCGGCCUGGCGGCGAGUGGCGAACGGGUGUGUAAUACAUCGGAACGUGCCCAGUAGUGGGGGAUAGCUCGUCGAAAGCCGGAUUAAUACCGCAUACGACCUUAGGGUGAAAGCUGGGGAUCUUCGGACCUCUCGCUAUUUUAUCGCCCGAUGGCAGAUUUGCUAGUUGGUGGGGUAAAGGCCUACCAAGGCGACGAUCUGUAGCUGGUCUGAGAGGACGACCAGCCACAGUGGAACUGAGAAACGGCCCAGACUCCUACGGGAGGCAGCAGUGGGGAAUUUUGGACAAUGGGCGAAAGCCUGAUCCAGCAAUGCCGCGUGUGUGAUGAAGGCCUUCGGGUUGUAAAGCACUUUUGGCGGGAACGAAAAGGACUGUGCCAAUACCACGGUUCGAUGACGGUACCCGAAGAAUAAGCACCGGCUAACUACGUG
Molecule: ribosomal RNA, 484 nt
Filed under: uncultured bacterium
Lineage: Bacteria
Description: partial 16S ribosomal RNA
Rfam family: Bacterial small subunit ribosomal RNA
Source: RNAcentral